RNAcentral lists this transfer RNA (69 nucleotides) under Pterolophia sp. ZJY-2019. RNAcentral's name for it is "tRNA-Val". The record is from RNAcentral. Lineage: Eukaryota; Metazoa; Arthropoda; Insecta; Coleoptera; Cerambycidae.
CGAGUUAAAGCUUUGAAAAAGCAUUUUAGUUACAUUAAAAAGUUAGUUGUGAAAAUCAAUUUAACUUGA